This 449-nucleotide ribosomal RNA is filed under the name uncultured bacterium. RNAcentral's name for it is "partial 16S ribosomal RNA". It matches the Rfam family "Bacterial small subunit ribosomal RNA", at positions 29 to 523 of the family's 1533-position model. The record is from RNAcentral.
AACGAACGCUGGCGGCAUGCCUAACGCAUGCAAGUCGAACGAGAUCUUCGGGUCUAGUGGCGCACGGGUGCGUAACGCGUGGGAAUCUGCCCUUUGGUUCGGAAUAACAGUUGGAAACGACUGCUAAUACCGGAUGAUGACGAAAGUCCAAAGAUUUAUCGCCAGAGGAUGAGCCCGCGUAGGAUUAGCUAGUUGGUGUGGUAAAGGCGCACCAAGGCGACGAUCCUUAGCUGGUCUGAGAGGAUGAUCAGCCACACUGGGACUGAGACACGGCCCAGACUCCUACGGGAGGCAGCAGUGGGGAAUAUUGGACAAUGGGCGAAGGCCUGAUCCAGCAAUGCCGCGUGAGUGAUGAAGGCCUUAGGGUUGUAAAGCUCUUUUACCCGGGAUGAUUAUGACAGUACCGGGAGAAUAAGCCCCGGCUAACUCCGUGCCAGCCGCCGCCGUAA